This 301-nucleotide ribosomal RNA is filed under the name uncultured bacterium. RNAcentral describes it as "partial 16S ribosomal RNA". It matches the Rfam family "Bacterial small subunit ribosomal RNA", at positions 509 to 809 of the family's 1533-position model. The record is from RNAcentral.
CAGUCGCCACGGGAAUACGGAGGGGGCUAGCGUUGUUCGGAAUUACCGGGCGUAAAGCGCACGUAGGCGGCUUGGUAAGUUAGAGGUGAAAGCCUGGAGCUCAACUCCAGAAUUGCCUUUAAGACUGCCGAGCUAGCAGGUGAGAGAGGUAAGUGGAAUUCCGAGUGUAGAGGUGAAAUUCGUAGAUAUUCGGAAGAACACCAGUGGCGAAGGCGGCUUACUGGCUCAUACUGGACGCUGAGGUGCGAAAGCGUGGGGAGCAAGCAGGAUUAGAUACCCGGGUAGUCCCUGUCUCUUAUAA